RNAcentral lists this ribosomal RNA (578 nucleotides) under uncultured Streptococcus sp. RNAcentral describes it as "bacterial SSU rRNA". It matches the Rfam family "Bacterial small subunit ribosomal RNA", at positions 63 to 625 of the family's 1533-position model. Lineage: Bacteria; Bacillati; Bacillota; Bacilli; Lactobacillales; Streptococcaceae. The record is from RNAcentral.
AGGAUGCACCGUAGUUUACUACACCGUAUUCUGUGAGUUGCGAACGGGUGAGUAACGCGUAGGUAACCUGCCUGGUAGCGGGGGAUAACUAUUGGAAACGAUAGCUAAUACCGCAUAAGAACAUUUACUGCAUGGUAGAUGUUUAAAAGGUGCAAAUGCAUCACUACCAGAUGGACCUGCGUUGUAUUAGCUAGUAGGUGAGGUAACGGCUCACCUAGGCGACGAUACAUAGCCGACCUGAGAGGGUGAUCGGCCACACUGGGACUGAGACACGGCCCAGACUCCUACGGGAGGCAGCAGUAGGGAAUCUUCGGCAAUGGGGGGAACCCUGACCGAGCAACGCCGCGUGAGUGAAGAAGGUUUUCGGAUCGUAAAGCUCUGUUGUUAAGGAAGAACGAGUGUGAGAAUGGAAAGUUCAUACUGUGACGGUACUUAACCAGAAAGGGACGGCUAACUACGUGCCAGCAGCCGCGGUAAUACGUAGGUCCCGAGCGUUGUCCGGAUUUAUUGGGCGUAAAGCGAGCGCAGGCGGUUAGAUAAGUCUGAAGUUAAAGGCAGUGGCUCAACCAUUGUAGGCU